Brassica napus (rape) is the source of this 815-nucleotide long non-coding RNA. RefSeq lists it as uncharacterized. The record is from RefSeq and is a predicted model, not a curated record. The transcript has 2 exons. Lineage: Eukaryota; Viridiplantae; Streptophyta; Magnoliopsida; Brassicales; Brassicaceae.
AUUACGAAUACUAUUUUUUUCUGAAUAAUCCAUUUGAAUCCAUUCCACGAUACAUGUAUUACCGCCCAAACGCAUGAAGGUCAGUUGUUUAGCCACGUGAAUCUCGCCAAGAGAAUGCUGCUCUCUCCAUAAUUUCUAUAACAAUUGUUACUCGAGACUUGAGAGGUAGUGUAACGCUAAUCAUGAAGGAAAUGUAGCUGUGCUAUAACAUAGCUUUUGAUAUUCAUUGCUUUAGGGGAUUAAUUUUGAAGAAACAACGUUGACAAAAAAAAAAAAAUUAAAAAAACGAAAACACUAUAAACGGCACGUUGUUCAAGUUUUACACGUAGAACGGCACGCAGUGUUUGGCUAGUCUGUAACCCCUUUAAUGGCAUCUCUCAUUGAUUAUCGUCAUUUCGUUUAAGGAUCUUCGUGGGGGCUAAGUCGAUUUGAUAGCGAACUAGAAAGCGAGAGAUCGAAGCGAGUGAUGCCAGGAGGUGUGCCCAAGCUCCCAAAGAUCCAACCGGCGGAUAUCCAAGCCGCCGUGGGAUGGGGUGUCGCCGCCGCAGCCGGCGCCAUCUGGGUCGUCCAACCGUUUGAUUGGAUAAAGAAGACGUUCAUUGAUAAACCAGCAACUGAAGAGAACUGAUGGGAUCACCAAGAUGUAGACUUUUCUUUGGGAUGUGAUUGAAUAAAGUUUUGGUUCUUUUUCUGGGGAUUUUGUUGUUUCAUGCUUCAAUGUAGACUUUUUUUACUUCUCAAAUGUUAUAAUACAAGAAUAAGCAUACACACUCCAAAUCUGUAACCAGAAAGGAGUAUGCAUUUUGCUUUUUCAA